UUGAACGCUGGCGGAAUGCUUUACACAUGCAAGUCGAACGAUGAACCUUAGCUUGCUAGGGGGAUUAGUGGCGAACGGGUGAGUAAUAUAUCGGAACGUACCUUGUUAUGGGGGAUAACUAGUCGAAAGAUUAGCUAAUACCGCAUACGCCCUGAGGGGGAAAGUAGGGGAUCUUCGGACCUUACGUUAUAAGAGCGGCCGAUAUCUGAUUAGCUAGUUGGUGGGGUAAUGGCCUACCAAGGCGACGAUCAGUAGCUGGUCUGAGAGGACGACCAGCCACACCGGAACUGAGACACGGUCCAGACUCCUACGGGAGGCAGCAGUGG
This 326-nucleotide ribosomal RNA is filed under the name uncultured bacterium. RNAcentral's name for it is "bacterial SSU rRNA". It matches the Rfam family "Bacterial small subunit ribosomal RNA", at positions 30 to 357 of the family's 1533-position model. The record is from RNAcentral.